RNAcentral lists this ribosomal RNA (430 nucleotides) under uncultured bacterium. RNAcentral's name for it is "bacterial SSU rRNA". It matches the Rfam family "Bacterial small subunit ribosomal RNA", at positions 31 to 507 of the family's 1533-position model. The record is from RNAcentral.
GAACGCUGGCGGCAUGCCUAACACAUGCAAGUCGAACGAGACCUUCGGGUCUAGUGGCGCACGGGUGCGUAACGCGUGGGAAUCUGCCCUUAGGUUCGGAAUAACUUCGGGAAACUGAAGCUAAUACCGGAUGAUGACGUAAGUCCAAAGAUUUAUCGCCUAAGGAUGAGCCCGCGUUGGAUUAGCUAGUUGGUGAGGUAAAGGCUCACCAAGGCGACGAUCCAUAGCUGGUCUGAGAGGAUGAUCAGCCACACUGGGACUGAGACACGGCCCAGACUCCUACGGGAGGCAGCAGUGGGGAAUAUUGGACAAUGGGCGAAAGCCUGAUCCAGCAAUGCCGCGUGAGUGAUGAAGGCCUUAGGGUUGUAAAGCUCUUUUACCCGGGAUGAUAAUGACAGUACCGGGAGAAUAAGCUCCGGCUAACUCCGUG